This 390-nucleotide ribosomal RNA is filed under the name uncultured bacterium. Its description in RNAcentral is "bacterial SSU rRNA". It matches the Rfam family "Bacterial small subunit ribosomal RNA", at positions 28 to 415 of the family's 1533-position model. The record is from RNAcentral.
GAUGAACGCUAGCGGCAGGCUUAAUACAUGCAAGUCGAACGGUAAUCCCGACAGCAAUGUCGGGACAAGAGUGACGUACGGGUGCGUAACACGUAUGCAACCUACCUUGUACAGGAGGAUAGCUCGGGGAAACCCGGAUUAACCCUCCAUGAGAUCCCGAAACGGCAUCGUUUCGGGAUUAAAACUCCGGUGGUACAAGAUGGGCAUGCGUCUGAUUAGUUAGUUGGCGGGGUAACGGCCCACCAAGACGAUGAUCAGUAGGGGACCUGAGAGGGUGAUCCCCACACUGGCACUGAGAUACGGGCCAGACUCCUACGGGAGGCAGCAGUAGGGAAUAUUGGUCAAUGGAUGGAAGUCUGAACCAGCCAUGCCGCGUGCAAGGAAGAAGGC